This 301-nucleotide ribosomal RNA is filed under the name uncultured bacterium. Its description in RNAcentral is "partial 16S ribosomal RNA". It matches the Rfam family "Bacterial small subunit ribosomal RNA", at positions 509 to 809 of the family's 1533-position model. The record is from RNAcentral.
CAGCAGCCACGGGAAUACGAAGGGGGCUAGCGUUGUUCGGAAUUACUGGGCGUAAAGCGCACGUAGGCGGACAUUUAAGUCAGGGGUGAAAUCCCGGGGCUCAACCCCGGAACUGCCUUUGAUACUGGGUGUCUAGAGUAUGGAAGAGGUGAGUGGAAUUCCGAGUGUAGAGGUGAAAUUCGUAGAUAUUCGGAGGAACACCAGUGGCGAAGGCGGCUCACUGGUCCAUUACUGACGCUGAGGUGCGAAAGCGUGGGGAGCAAACAGGAUUAGAUACCCCUGUAGUCCCUGUCUCUUAUAA